UACGUAGGGAGCAAGCGUUGUUCGGAAUUACUGGGCGUAAAGCGCACGUAGGCGGCUUUGUAAGUUAGAGGUGAAAGCCCGGGGCUCAACUCCGGAACUGCCUUUAAGACUGCAUCGCUUGAAUCCAGGAGAGGUGAGUGGAAUUCCGAGUGUAGAGGUGAAAUUCGUAGAUAUUCGGAAGAACACCAGUGGCGAAGGCGGCUCACUGGACUGGUAUUGACGCUGAGGAGCGAAAGCCAGGGGAGCAAACGGG
RNAcentral lists this ribosomal RNA (253 nucleotides) under uncultured bacterium. RNAcentral describes it as "partial 16S ribosomal RNA". It matches the Rfam family "Bacterial small subunit ribosomal RNA", at positions 524 to 776 of the family's 1533-position model. The record is from RNAcentral.